Molecule: ribosomal RNA, 444 nt
Filed under: Oenococcus oeni
Lineage: Bacteria; Bacillati; Bacillota; Bacilli; Lactobacillales; Lactobacillaceae
Description: bacterial SSU rRNA
Rfam family: Bacterial small subunit ribosomal RNA
Source: RNAcentral
GAGCGCAACCCUUGUUAUUAGUUGCCAGCAUUUAGUUGGGCACUCUAAUGAGACUGCCGGUGAUAAACCGGAGGAAGGUGGGGACGACGUCAGAUCAUCAUGCCCCUUAUGACCUGGGCAACACACGUGCUACAAUGGGAAGUACAACGAGUCGCAAACCGGCGACGGUAAGCUAAUCUCUUAAAACUUCUCUCAGUUCGGACUGGAGUCUGCAACUCGACUCCACGAAGGCGGAAUCGCUAGUAAUCGCGAAUCAGCAUGUCGCGGUGAAUACGUUCCCGGGUCUUGUACACACCGCCCGUCAAAUCAUGGGAGUCGGAAGUACCCAAAGUCGCUUGGCUAACUUUUAGAGGCCGGUGCCUAAGGUAAAAUCGAUGACUGGGAUUAAGUCGUAACAAGGUAGCCGUAGGAGAACCUGCGGCUGGAUCACCUCCUUUCUAAGGA